GUAAAACAUGAACGUGAUCAUUUGUUGUUGUGAAAAACCCGAACAGUCCUACAGAAAUAGUAUUACUGGAACGACAUUGUUUGUAAAUUCCAUUUGUUAAAGGAGUUUUUGUCUAAGGAUGGAUAUCAACCGAUCCCUUGUCAGGAUAGUUUCAAUAAUUGCGUCUUGAAAAGACUAUCAAAAAAUAUAUAUAAGCUUUUCCCAUUUAUUUAUUGUUACAUGUUAAUGUAGGAAUAUAACUUAUAAACGUUUUACCACAAACAUUGAUUUACAUUACAAUAAUGAAUACAAGUAGUCUUGCAGUAAAAACAACAACUUAUGAAAACAUACAGAUAAAGGAUGGUUAUGAUCUACCUGUAUAUGGAAUCGCCGAAGGUACCUUCUAUAAACUUCAUGUGCCAGCAAUGGCAUGUAUUUGUAUAAGCUUUAUAUGCGCAAUAUCAGUUAUUUUAUAUUCAUUCUAUCAGCAAAAUUACUCCAAAUUUUUCGAUUGGUCGAAAAGUGAAAGAUUUGUAGUGUAUAUGGGUCUUUGUGAUGCUCUUUUUAAUGUGUCGCAUUUUAGUGACCAUCUUCAUAUUGUUGUAACAAAGUCGUUUCCAACACCGAAAGGACUAUGUGCUUUUUAUGGAUUUAUGCUUACUGAAUUCAUAACAGCUCAAAAUUUGAUGGUGAAUAUCGUUGCCAUCAAUGUGUUUGUCUUAAUAUAUUUUCGAAAACACAUGUUUUUUGGCAGAUGGGAUUAUCGGCUGUUGGUUUAUAUUUUUGGUGUUCCUGCAAUAGGUUGCAUCAUUGCUGGAGCUUUGGAUCAGUUUGGUCCAAAUGGAGCGUUGUAAGUAAAUAACAUUAUGCAUUGAUUAAAAAACUUAAUUUAAGUUGAAUUUUUGACAAAGUUAUUGAAAAUUAAGUAAAUAAUCAUUUCAAUUCGGUUGACUUUUUCCUAAAAUUGAAAAUUCGUGUCAAUAAAACACCUGUAUCAAAGCAAAUCAUUACCAAUGAUUGAAUUUCAAGUUUUUAAUCGAGUGUUUGAUUGAUUGAAUAUAUUAUUAUUUUUCUACUUUUUUAGUUGACGAUUUCAAAUAUGGAAAAAAAAGGCAAUUUAUGAAUUUUAAAAAUACAAGCUCAAUUCUUACCAUUAAAGGAUGUGCAUGUACACCUCUGAGGAGCCGCACUUUUCUAGAAUUAAACGUUGUCAUACAUUAACCUGAUUUUUGGUUUAUAUUACUGUAAAAAAUUAAUGGGCGAAGAAAAUAUCGAUGUUACACUUUUUUUCAUUUGCUACGGCCCUCCGAUAUCUUCCGCCCCUCUUUUCUAACAUUACUUCAAAACUUUACAUAAUGUACGUUUGCCAAAGUCAAUUACUUUUUUGGCUGCUGUAGCAGUUUUGUGUUAACGUCGACUAUAUUGCUUACACACACAGUGGAUGAAUAUUUUCGUUAAUAAAAAAAAGUCAGAUUUAAUAUUUCCAUACAUCCCUUUUUCGGUUAUACAUAAAAGGCAGCUUAAAGCAUUUUCAUGAAAUAAAAUAUAUAAAUCCGAUGAUUUAUACAACGUCGGCAAUGAACACCAUCAUCCGUCCAUAAGCUAGUCCUUACUGUUAAGUGUAAGUUUAGACAAAAAUAAGUUUCAUGAAUUAUCAAUUAUACAUAACAUAGAUGUCAGACAUGGGGUAAUUGAAAUAUGUAAUUGUAAUUGACUGUAAUUAAUUACAAUUUAUCAUGUAAUUGAAUGUAAUGUGUAAUUGAGCAUUUUUUCAAUUACAUGUAAUUGAAUGUAAUUAAUUACAUAGCCAAAAUUGCCUGUAAUUGACAAUUACUUUUCAAUUACAAGUCAAUUACAUUUGAAAUUUUGGAUCAAAAGAUUAAAUCUUGUGUUUUCUCAAAAAAUUAUUAAAAGCAAUAAUCUUAACAAAUGUUGUAAGCUGACAAAGAAAAGCCUUCACAGUAUACUUUCUGUAUUAACACAACCAUGGUAGAUUCUUCAUUUUGUAUUGAAUGAUAAAAAAAAUGUAGACACAUGCCAUAAUUUUAAAAGAAACCACUAGGAAGUCACUGUCUUGACCUUAAUUAGUAGAUUUAGAUAGAUAUUUUAAGACAUUGAUUUAACAUAAUUAACUUUAUUCAAGGACUUAAAUAACCAAUAAAAUAUAACCUCUGGCUAUUUGUUUUAUUACAAACUAUAUAAUGACUGUUUUUAUAACAGUUAUGUUAAACAGAUAUAAGGCUAAUUAGAGAGAGAUAAAUAUACCCCUAGGGCCUAUAGGUACAUGUUUAAAUUCUUGAAGGGAUAAUGCAUAUGACAAAAUCUCACUUGCAAAAUUUGUUCACUAUAUAUAUGAAUGUUGAAAGAAAACAUUUUAUCAGAUUUAAAAAUGAGCUCCAAGAGUGUACUGGAACAUUUUACUGUUCCUGAUGACUUCCAAAAUGGAAAUACUUUCAAAGGAAAAUGUAUGCAUUGUGGCACCCUCAUUAGUGGAAGUUAUAAAGUUACAUCCAACUUUGUUACACAUAUGAAGGUAAUACUAUAUAAGAAUUUUAAAAAUUAAUAAAUUCAUAAUGCUUCUUUUUCAUUUCUAAUCAGAUUUCAUUUAUCUUAUAUCCUCUAAUAGCUUACAUUUAAAUUUGGAAAAUAUUUUGUUUAUUAAAUUAAUUAGUUGUGAUUAAAACUAAAGUUUAUUUUUGUUUUAAGAAGUCAGAUUUCUAAAUCACUUAUUUAAGAUAAAUAAUUUGAAUAAGCUGGGAUAAAAAUGAAAAUCAUUUCAAAAAAUAAAAAAUAGUGCUCUUUUUUUGUAUCAUUUACAAUCAAAUAAAUUUAAAUAAAUGUAAAAUUUCAAUAGGUAAAUUAAAACAAUUUAAUAUUUUCAAGAUAUUAAAUAAGGCCUUUUGUAAUUUUCAGAGAAAACACAGAGAUUUGUACAUUCUGCAUUCUGAGAAUAAAGAAAUUCAACCAACAUUGACACAAUGCAUAAAAAAAAAAAGUGUAAAAUAUUCACCGUCUGAUCCAAAACAGUUAGAAAUGACAAAUGCUCUUAUAAUGUUCAUAGCUGGGGAUCUUUUUACCACUCUCUAUUGUCGAAAGUGAAGAAUUUAAAAACUUGAUGGAAAAAGCUGACACUAAGUAUCAAGUGCCUAGCAGAAAGCAUUUAUCUUCGAAACUUCUACAUGAAAAAUCGGUUGAAAUAAAAAAUAACCUUGUAAAUACUCUUAAAAGAGCUGAAAGUGUGUGUUUAACCAUUGAUCUCUGGUCUAGUAGACAAAUGAGAGGAUUUUUGGGAAUCACAGGCCACUUUAUUUUGGACUGGGCUAUGAAGUCUGUCAUGAUAUGCUGUAAACGAUUCAAAGGUAGACACACAGCAGAAUCCAUCAGGAGUGAAUAUGAAGAAGUUGUUACUUCAUUUGAAAUAGGUUUUAAAAUUGCUGCAAUAGUCAGUGACAAUGCUAGUAAUAUGGUCAAAGCAUUUUCAAUUCCUGGCUUUGAUGACUUUAAGGUAGAUCAUGAGAGUUCUGAUGAGGAAAUUGAUGAUGUAGACAAAGAAAUUGAAGAUGACCAGUCUGAUGAUUUACAUUUAUCAUAUAUUAUAAUUGUUAUAACUAUAGAGCAAUGUAUAAUACUUAUGUACAUAUCAUAGAAUAAAUGCAUGUUUUCAAUGUUUUAUCUUAAAUUUCCUUUCAAAUGUAAUUGAAGUAAUUAAUUACAUUUGCCAAGUAAUUGGAAUGUAAUUAAUUACAUUGGUAAAAAAAGUCAAAUGUAAUGUGUAAUUUAAUUGAAGAUUUUGUAAUUGUAAUUGAAUGUAAUUAAUUACUUUCAAAUGUAAUUGACCCCAUGUCUGAUAGAUGUACAUGUUAUCUUUUUACAUACUUGUCAAAUUGAAAUAAAAUUACUUUCGUUUCUUUUUCAGCUGCACUUUUGAUGCUAUAAAAGGGAAAACUACAUAUAUAUUCUUCACAACGGUACCGCUUCUAUUAGUCUUAGUUCUAAAUAUCGGUUUGUACACUUUAUGCUGGGGACGAAUUUAUCGGGAGACGCGUGAAAUUAAGGACUCUCUCGGGAAAUCGUCACGAGCAUUACAAGCAUCGCAUAAGGCUGCAAAGACUGUCUCUUUUUGUAACAGCUUUCUUUAUACAAUGGUGGGCUUUGGCUGUAUUUGGGGUAUGCCAGUUGAGUGGAAAUGUUCCGCCACUGUUACUCAAUUUGGUGACAAUUUUCUCAAAUAUUGGAGGUCUGCUGAAUGGAAUUGUUUUCAUAUUUAUUGUACAAAGAAAAAGCGAGAAAGCCAGUGAUAAUGGUUCGCACAAAUCAGGAUCUGGAGGAACUGGUAGUACCCCGAUCCAAUCAAUAAGUCAUCCAACACGUGCAUCACAUGCGAUACGAAAUAGUGAAGUCUGAGGAAAAAUGAAAAGAUCAAAGUUUUGUCUAAAUACUUCUGAUUAAAUUCAUGUUCUUUAAUUAUCAACAAACUCAAAGAUGCUUUAUGGUAAAAUAUAUAAAUGUAAUGCUAAAUAAACUCAUCAUAGAUACCAGG
Molecule: long non-coding RNA, 4519 nt
Filed under: Mytilus galloprovincialis (Mediterranean mussel)
Lineage: Eukaryota; Metazoa; Mollusca; Bivalvia; Mytilida; Mytilidae
Source: RNAcentral